AUACGGAGGAUGCGAGCGUUAUCCGGAUUUAUUGGGUUUAAAGGGUGCGUAGGCUGUGCGUUAAGUCAGGGGUGAAAUGCCGUCGCUCAACGACGGAGCUGCCCUUGAUACUGGCGGGCUGGAGUACGGAUGCCGUUGGAGGAAUGAGUGUUGUAGCGGUGAAAUGCUUAGAUAUCACUCAGAACACCGAUUGCGAAGGCAUCUGACGAAUCCGUCACUGACGCUGAGGCACGAAAGCGUGGGGAUAGAACAGGAUUAGAUACCCUGGUAUUCCACGCCGUAAACGAUGAUGACUAACCGUCGGCGAUAGACAGCCGGUGGCCAAGCGAAAGCGAUAAGUCAUCCACCUGGGGAGUACGUCGGCAACGAUGAAACUUAAAGGAAUUGACGGGG
This 393-nucleotide ribosomal RNA is filed under the name uncultured bacterium. Its description in RNAcentral is "partial 16S ribosomal RNA". It matches the Rfam family "Bacterial small subunit ribosomal RNA", at positions 523 to 918 of the family's 1533-position model. The record is from RNAcentral.